This is a non-coding RNA of Drosophila melanogaster (fruit fly), 2435 nucleotides long. Lineage: Eukaryota; Metazoa; Arthropoda; Insecta; Diptera; Drosophilidae. The record is from Ensembl.
UGUCUGCUGUCUUCAGCUGCCGUUGCCUUUUCUUCUCCUCUCGGUUUAUUCUUUUUUUUUCUUGUGUGUCUGUUUCGUUUUUAUGUUUUUUUGUUGGUUUUGGCGCUGUCGGAAAAUGUCCGUUGCCAUUUCCAUUGCAGCCGUCUUCCGUUUGGGCGCUGUCCCUCCGUCGUUUGCCAUGCCCCCGUGUAAUUAGCUGGGUUCCCUAUCUUCGACAUUGUCUGGCAUUUCUCGGGUAUUUAUGUACUUUGCUGCAGACAGGACAAGCUACAUACAAUUUGGUUCAAAUGCCAUUGAUCUUGAACUUGAUUCAACUCAUAAGUGCAUUCAUCAGACAAAUCUGUCGACAGACAUGCGUUUAUUUCCUUGACUCGUCGCCAGCAAAUAAUUUCAAGCUUGAGUUCGCAUUCAGUGGACUAGAAAGAAAGUCAAUGUCGAAGAGCCUCUAUUAAAUUAGCAUUUCGCUGUCGCCCUGGCACGCUCUUCCGAGUAAUGCCCAUUCCCAUGUCCCAGUCUCCACUGCAACUCCGGAUCCGGACGAGACGGCAUAUCUCCGGUGCUUGGCCAGCUGAUGAUGAUGACUGGAGAUUUCUGGCAGCGAACGGCGCCAGAGAAUCGUAAAAUAUUUUUAUACAAAUAUCGCAGCAGUUAGAACAAAAGAUUUGAUUUGAAAAUGUAACGCUUCACGCCUGCAAAAAUACCGACAAAGAAAUGUCACACAAAAGACAGUGGGAUGCAAGCAGAUCUCUGUUCAGAUACACUAGGUGGACCUUCGGAUAAAUCAGGUGUAAUUGCGUCAUGCGGGUGCAUGGUAAACUAGAUCGACAGUAAACCUAAUCGAGACAGAGACACAUAAGUUGACGCGACAUCGGCACAGCCCAUAAAGUGACCACGCUCCUUGGAUUCCAAGGAUUCCCAGGACAGGUCGUUUUGCGGUGUGUCUCGCCUUGCUGGGUGUGAAGUGUCCCGUGGGCGGCGGUGUCUUUAGUUGCUCAAGAUGCAUGUACCUGAGCACAGUCGUCUGUCGCCAAUUGAAGUAAUAAUUUUCUAUUGUCCUUCGUCGCGCCUUCCUCCAUAAAGCAAAUGUACUUCAGAGCACUGAGAAGGACGCGACAAGUGGCUGGCUCUGGGUACUCUGUUCGGUUCAAGUAGCCAAGUGGCGCCAGACGAUCCAAGUCCCUCGGCCAGAGGACAUCUUUGUGAGUCCGCUAUCUGCCGCCUUGGAUCUGCAGAUGCUGAACGGUAGCGGUCAAGCUGCCAGAGGUUGACAACGACAUAUGUUCGUGCUGGAUAAGAUUGGGCCAGAGAAGAUUAGCUGCCGGGGAGAAGGGAUUUGGAUUGGGUAUACGGGUGGACGGAAGCUCUCGAACAACCCACACAAUCUCUUAGGCAAAAGGUUUUUUUUCUUGGUUUUUGGUAGAUACUAAGCCGGUGCUCAAGGUGCGUCGAGAGCAUCAUUAAGGCAGGAAGGCAAAGGUAACUACGGGACGGGAGUCCAGACCACAAGCAACGAUGAUUUAAUUUUCCAACACGCUUUCUACCACGCCAGCAUAAAGCAUCGUUGAAUCUCAAAAUCUGGGGUUUUGAAUUUGGAUUUUUCUCGUUUUUUUUUUUUUUUGCUUUUUGGUAUUCCAUGGAUGAUCGAUGGCCUGUCGUUGAGAUGAUCACUUUCUGUAGCUGCCUAGCGGCUACUAGUUGAGAUACUUAACGACGAUCCAAGAGGGCGCCACUCGGGCCUUAUAAUUUGUUAAGAUGUUUGGAUCGAUGGAUGGAUGGAUCGAUCGAUGGAUGAUUGGGGAUGCCUGGAUUGAUUGCCCUUUCUCUGCAUAAUAUUUAUAAUUCAUAAUAAAUAAUGAGGAUCGGUCUGGCAUGGACCAAACUGGAGCUCUCGAGACGGCGACAUCGACGCCUCCAAAUGCCAAAAUGGUAUUUUUCGUUGGACAGGACGGACUUUUGGACCAAGUUUGGCAAUUUAUGCGUCCAGAUUCGUGAUGUGUGUGGCAUAUAUGAAGCCCAGUCACAAGUUGCCUUUGACAAAUUCUCCAAGAAUGUGUCCGCAAGAUUUCAGGGCAUUGCAGCGGGCAUAUCAGCAAUGUAGUGCGGUUUGUUUCACUUCACAUAAGGAUUCAGUUAAUCUAGAGAUUAAGUACCCUUCUCUGGUUGAAUAUUACAAGCUAACUAUAUACUAUAUUAAACCGAAGAAAAAAAAAUAUUUCUCUGAACUUAUUUUAUGAAAAAGUUGAUAUAUAUUGAAAUAACAAGUUAUGAAAAGUUAAAUUAUAAAAACUAAGACCUCAGCAAUCAUGUUUUUCCAGGAUCUGAUACUUAGUUGUUUUUAAUGAUUCCAAAUUGCACCUAAAUAGGUAUUUUAUGAGGCUAGUAUACUUUGAAUACUGUGAAUUUUUGUAAUAAAUGUUUCUAUUUAAAAAACUCUA